UGAUACUCGUCGAAUCGCAUA
Caenorhabditis elegans is the source of this 21-nucleotide non-coding RNA. NCBI's taxonomy places the organism in Eukaryota, Metazoa, Nematoda, Chromadorea, Rhabditida, Rhabditidae. The record is from Ensembl.